RNAcentral lists this unclassified non-coding RNA (337 nucleotides) under soil metagenome. RNAcentral describes it as "partial contains 5.8S ribosomal RNA, internal transcribed spacer 2, and large subunit ribosomal RNA". The stretch from base 1 to 120 matches the Rfam family "5.8S ribosomal RNA", at positions 35 to 154 of the family's 154-position model. The record is from RNAcentral.
GAUGAAGAACGUAGCGAAAUGCGAUAAGUAAUGUGAAUUGCAGAAUUCAGUGAAUCAUCGAAUCUUUGAACGCACAUUGCGCCCGCCAGCAUUCUGGCGGGCAUGCCUGUUCGAGCGUCAUUUCAACCCUCAAGCUCUGCUUGGUGUUGGGGCCCUACGGUUGACGUAGGCCCUUAAAGGUAGUGGCGGACCCUCUCGGAGCCUCCUUUGCGUAGUAACUAACGUCUCGCACUGGGAUUCGGAGGGACUCUUGCCGUAAAACCCCCAAAUUUUUAAAGGUUGACCUCGGAUCAGGUAGGAAUACCCGCUGAGCUUAAGCAUAUCAAUAAGCGGAGGA